AGUGAAGGUCACCAUCUCAGCUGGCACAGCUGCUUCACUUGUUUUUGGGGCUGUGAUGUUUGACUAAAGUGGCUUCAUCCAGGGAAGACCAUCUACAAUUGGAGGAGAUUUUAAACAACUGCCAUCUUAUCCAAGUUGGCGUCCUCUGACAUGGAUGCAAGGUGUUGAAAGAAGUCUCCAGGAACCCUAGAAUUUUAACACAGGCCAUACAGAAACCUAAACUCUAAAAGAAGUUUACAGCACCUAAAGGAUGCUCAGAUCUGCAGAUCAUGCCAAGUUAAUGCUGGCUGCUGCUUGGUUUGUAUGGACAGAACUGAAUUCUACGUAACAUGAUUGCAUACCACCGGGGAUACUGAAAGACUGCAGCUGGCUUGACUUCUUGAAACAGUGAGCAAACUUCAAGCAUCCAUGUUAUCAUAUCUUCCAGGAUUUCAUGAUUUUUCAAUGAAGAAACUGAUCAUUUCUGUUUUUUAUGAAAAUUCGCUAGGAUGCUCAUUUUACUACCAAAAAAAUGGACCUAUCUGAGAAAAAGAGGAUGCAUGGUAACUCUGGGGGGACUUCAAGUCUACCUAUUAUUAAAUGAGAUAUAACCACUGUCAGUAUUUGUUAAUGUUAUCAAGAUGAUAUCUAAACACAACCCACGAUGAGAGAAAAUGAAAAAACAAAAGUGGUAAACUAGUAAGACAAUUAAAUUGUGAUUAAAAAUAGCAGAGAAGAAUAUGCUGUGUCUGCAGUUUUAGAUGAGAUCUCACUUUAGCUGGUAUAGAAUUUAUAUGUGCUGAUAACAGUUUCCUCCCAUCAACCCCUGCAGUCUGAUGGAAAUUUUAGUCCCAGCGUCAUCACUGCCUUUGGGGUUGUCCCCUCCAUUAAAGCCCCUCUCCCUGAUAUGCCAUAUAGGCUAUGUUUUAAGUUAGAUCAUACAUGCAAAAUUUUGUGCAAAGCUGUUCUGCCAUUUUUGCAAGAUUGUCAAACAAACAGAUUACGAUUUUAUUUAUAUAGAAUAGCACCUAAAUUUAGCUUGUACUUCUAGAAACGUAUACACUCAAUGACAUUAUGAGCUGUGAAACAAGGCUCCUUUUGGAAUAUAAACAUCCAUAGACAAAUCAGAAUGAAGAUUCACUGAUAAUCAAUCAUAAAAGCUUUUAUGUAAGUGAGAUCCUUUUGGUAUAUUCCAGUUACAGAUCAGGAGCUCAUAUUGAAUUGUAAUAUUAUUUAAGCUCAUUUUGUAUUUGAUGAUAAAACAGCCAGCUAUGACUUCCUGUUGCUUCUAUCUGCUCUGUCAUAAUUUUUUACCAUCUAAGUAGUGUCUUACUGAAAGCAUUUGAGCCAACCGUUCCUUGGACAUUUCUCCAAAUCAAUCCCUUGGUGCACCUGAAGAGUCAAGACCUCAUCAACAGACAAGAAACUCGCCUUCAAUCCCGUUGUGCCACAGAUUCUUGUUCUGACAAUGCUGAUAAUAUGCUCCUUGUUUUUAUGAAUGCUUGUUAAAUCAGCAUUAAAGCAACUCAGUGCUA
Molecule: long non-coding RNA, 1514 nt
Organism: Polypterus senegalus (gray bichir)
Lineage: Eukaryota; Metazoa; Chordata; Cladistia; Polypteriformes; Polypteridae
Exons: 3
Source: RefSeq, a predicted model, not a curated record